This 252-nucleotide long non-coding RNA is filed under the name Athene cunicularia (burrowing owl). RNAcentral's name for it is "lncRNA (ENSACUG00000007815.1)". The record is from RNAcentral. Lineage: Eukaryota; Metazoa; Chordata; Aves; Strigiformes; Strigidae.
CUGGGCUGGGUGCAGCUUUUCCUCGCCUCUUAGUUUUGUCUGGUACAAGGUAACAGCUGUAUUGCCGUGGGCGAUUGUUAAACCGGGCCCCUGUACGGUCGGUAAACCGCAAACCUGUGAAACCCUCGCUUACCCGACUGUAUACCUGGCUGACACCCUGGAAUGAUCAGAAUUCUGCUUCAUCACAGUCAUUUGUAGGGAUCCUGUGCACAUGCCAGUCCUUGGGACUAGCACUGGCUGGGGAAGCACUUC